UACGGAAGGCAGCAGUGGGGAAUAUUGCACAAUGGGCGCAAGCCUGAUGCAGCCAUGCCGCGUGUAUGAAGAAGGCCUUCGGGUUGUAAAGUACUUUCAGUCGUGAGGAAGGUGUUAAGGUUAAUAACCUUAGCAAUUGACGUUAGCGACAGAAGAAGCACCGGCUAACUCCGUGCCAGCAGCCGCGGUAAUACGGAGGGUGCGAGCGUUAAUCGGAAUUACUGGGCGUAAAGGGCACGCAGGCGGUUAAUUAAGUUGGAUGUGAAAUCCCCGGGCUUAACCUGGGAAUGGCAUUCAAGACUGGUUAGCUAGAGUCUUGUAGAGGGGGUAGAAUUCCAUGUGUAGCGGUGAAAUGCGUAGAGAUGUGGAGGAAUACCGGUGGCGAAGGCGGCCCCUGGGACAAAGACUGACGCUCAUGUGCGAAGCGUGGGGAGCAAACAGGGAUUAGAUACC
This 453-nucleotide ribosomal RNA is filed under the name uncultured bacterium. RNAcentral's name for it is "bacterial SSU rRNA". It matches the Rfam family "Bacterial small subunit ribosomal RNA", at positions 340 to 786 of the family's 1533-position model. The record is from RNAcentral.